GUGUAACAUCAAACCGAGAUGAUGGAACGGCUUGAUUCGGCCACGUGUAUUGUGACUAGAACCUUGGAUAUGGCGGCCACGAGCUUCGCGAAUGUGGCGAGGGUUCUCGGCGCGCCUGGCGCCAAUCCGGCGAUUUCUCGCUCUUCCGCAGCUGUUGUGAGGAUGAAUGCGAGCGGCGCGGCUGGAGAGAGGAGCGUGGCGCUUAGGGUUUCGUCGCCGGGCAGGGAAGGCAGGGCGGAGCUGGCGGUGAUCUCCGGGGAAGCGGAAUUUGAUGAGGUUUUGCAGCGAGCGCAGGAGGACGAUUCAAUCGUUCUCAUCGAAUGGAUGGCAGCGUGGUGUAGGAAAUGCAUCUACUUGAAGCCUCAAUUGGAGAAGCUGGCUUUGGAAUUCCAGCACGGAGCAAAAUUCUUUUGUGUGGACGUCAAUGCCGUUCCACACGCAUUGAUUAAACGCGUUGGUGUUUCGAGAAUGCCAACUAUUCAGCUGUGGAAGAACAAGGAAAAGAGAGCAGAGAUCAUUGGAGGUCAAAAGGCCGAGCUGGUUGUGGAAGAAGUCCGGCAAAUGUUGCAGACCCUCGAAAAGUGACUCGUUGGUUGGAACUCGAGGACGAUAUUCCACCAACAUUUUUAUCCCUCGGACUAAAAGUGCCUGUAUAUGGUGGUCUACUCGACGAGCCAAAGCAAAAAAACUUUGGUCAGAGAUUUCCAUGAGAUCCAUCAGAAUAGAAACAAGGAGAUCAGAGAUUUGUCGCGCUUGAUUGCGGCUAUAAAGACGUGCAUCAAGAGCAGGGAUCUGGAAAUGGGGUACAAACUUCACGCGGAGGCAGCUCAAAGUGGAGACGACUCAAACAUUUACGUAGCAAACACACUGGUAAACAUGUACGCCAGGUGUGGGAGCUUGACAGACGCUCGCAGGCUUUUCGACAGGAUGGAUCGCCAUGACCUUGUGUCAUGGAAUGUUAUGGUGCUGGGAUACGCUGACAGUGGCUACGCAGAACUGGCACUGGACCUCUUUCAACUCAUGCAAGCUGAUGGCUUUGGUCCAAACUCUCGAAGCUUUGUAGCCGCCUUCAAAGCUUGUGCUUGUCUAGCAAAGCAAGAAGACACGGCGCUGAUCGAUGGGAAGCUUGUGAAGCUCAGGGCUCUCGAGAAAGGCAUGGCUCUUCACUCCCAAGCUGCAAGUUUCGGCUGUGACAUGGACAGAUUCGUAGCAAACGUGUUGGUGGACUGUUAUGCAAACUGUGGUAGCAUGGAGGAUUCAAGCAGGGUCUUCUACGGGAUCCAGAGUCCGACGGUGGUUUCAUGGACUGCAUUGGUUCUCGGAUAUGCUGAAAACGGGCAGGGAGAGAUGGCCUUGGAAAUGUUUUCACAGAUGCAACACGAGGGUGCUGAGAUGGAUUUUCUAAGUUUGUGGCGGCACUCAAGGCUUGCAGUGUUUUGGCCGUGAAGGAAAAGGCAGCAAAACGAGCCAAUGGCUCCUUGGUGAAGAUCAUUUCUCUGGAAAGAGCCAUGAAAAUCCACUCCGAGACGUCAAGGAAGAAGUGCGAUUCGGACUUAUAUGUGGCGAGCUGCCUGGUGGAUACUUACGUCAAGUGUGGGAGCAUGCUAGACGCGCGUAGGAUUUUUGACAGGAUGACGCAGCGGAAUGUGGUCUCCUGGAAUUCGUUAAUCUUGGGGUAUGCCGAGAAUGGAGAAGAGGAA
This is an RNA transcript of Selaginella moellendorffii, 1700 nucleotides long. It is a transcript of the gene named thioredoxin-like 3-2, chloroplastic, with no coding region annotated. The record is from RefSeq and is a predicted model, not a curated record. The transcript is spliced from 7 exons. NCBI's taxonomy places the organism in Eukaryota, Viridiplantae, Streptophyta, Lycopodiopsida, Selaginellales, Selaginellaceae.